AAGGGAACUCACUAUUAUUUCCUUUGUUUUCACAGUUAUCAGAUGUGGAAAUGCAAAGAUUGCAGCCUGUCAUUUUCAGAACGAUCUGAGCUACUAAAGCAUUAUCGUAUUGACCACCAGUUUCACGACAUCCACACCGAAGCUCUCUUCAUUCAAGUGCUAUGCUUGUAACGACAAUCAGCUUUCCACGGAACUUAUCCAGGACUCAUCGUGGCAAAUCCCAUACGACUCCUUAUCUUGCUCCGUGACGACAGCUCUGAGAGGAUGGAUCUGCCCCUGGUGCCAGACACUGUUGAGG
Corythoichthys intestinalis (scribbled pipefish) is the source of this 298-nucleotide long non-coding RNA. RefSeq lists it as uncharacterized. The record is from RefSeq and is a predicted model, not a curated record. The transcript has 3 exons. Lineage: Eukaryota; Metazoa; Chordata; Actinopteri; Syngnathiformes; Syngnathidae.